UGCUUGGGAAGCUGCCCGAUAGAGGGGAGUAACAGUUGGAAACGACUGCUAAUACCGCAUAUUCUCUACGGAGCAAAGGGGACCUCUAUUUAUAAGCUCUCGCUAUCGGAUGCGCCCAAGUGGGAUUAGCUAGUUGGUAAGGUAAUGGCUUACCAAGGCGACGAUCCCUAGCUGGUCUGAGAGGAUGAUCAGCCACACUGGAACUGAGACACGGUCCAGACUCCUACGGGAGGCAGCAGUGGGGAAUAUUGCACAAUGGGCGAAAGCCUGAUGCAGCCAUGCCGCGUGUAUGAAGAAGGC
This 300-nucleotide ribosomal RNA is filed under the name uncultured Alteromonadales bacterium. RNAcentral's name for it is "bacterial SSU rRNA". It matches the Rfam family "Bacterial small subunit ribosomal RNA", at positions 114 to 415 of the family's 1533-position model. The record is from RNAcentral. Lineage: Bacteria; Pseudomonadati; Pseudomonadota; Gammaproteobacteria; Alteromonadales.